Molecule: long non-coding RNA, 1453 nt
Organism: Lolium perenne
Lineage: Eukaryota; Viridiplantae; Streptophyta; Magnoliopsida; Poales; Poaceae
Source: RefSeq, a predicted model, not a curated record
GUAAUUCAGCCCUUCACGCCCGCAGGCAGAGCCAUCAUCACUCACCGCGCCUCACGUCCUUUCUCCUCCCAUCACGCCUCCCGAUAUCCUCCGCCAAGGGCAGAUCCCGGCCAGCUCCGGCGAGUCCUCGCGCUGCUCAACACCGCCCCGGCACCACAUCCUCGUCCUCCACCGAUUCCAUGCCGCGGAUUUACCCCAUCUUGUUGGCGCCGCCGGACCCCUUCAAUGUGGCUCCAGGCCAGGCGACGAACCCGUGGCGGCGCGGUUGGCUUUCUCGCCGGUGCGCGCGUGCAUCGGUUGGUUCGUGCUCGGCGCUCCGUCGAGAUCGCCAGACCGCGUCGCGCGCGUGGCCGAUGCAGUUGGGUGUGCGCUCAUGCCACCGUUUGUCCGCAGUCACCGGGAGAUGCCUGAAAUUCAUGUGUGGCAACAACACAUCUCGUUUUUAGUUUGUAGUUUUUUUGCAGGAAGACCCAAGACCAAUGCAUCUCCUCUGUGGAGGGGAUAGAGGCUUGUCCGUCGGCAUUUCCGGCGCGGCUCCCCGGUUGACAUGGACUGCUUCGCGGCUUUCCUGUUGCCUGUGCCGCCCGCCACGUGAGGCCACCGUAUGUCUGCAGUCACAGGGACUGAAAUUCAUCUCGUCUUGUUGGCGCCGCCGAACCCUGCAACGUGGCUCCAGGCCCAGAUCCUUCAGCGACGAACCUGUGGCGGCGCGGGUGGAUUUAUAGCCGGUGCACGCGUGCAUCGGUUGGUUAGUUCGCGGCACUCCGUCGAGCUCGCCAGACCGUGUCGCGUGUGUUGCCGAUGCAGAUGGGAGGACGCUGCAUGCCGGACACCAGGACGGGACGGCGGCUACGCGAGCCAUGGAGGGCUUCUCAUGCCGCCUUCCUCCACGCGCUGCAAGACCCAAGACCCAGGUGUCUCCUCUGAGGAGGGGACAUAGGCUUGUCCGUCGAUAUUGCCGGCGCGACUCCCCGGUUGGCAUGGACUGCUUCGUGGCUUUAUCAUGGCCCGCGUCGCUGGCCAUGUGAGGCCACCGUCUGUCUGCAGCCAUUGGAGUGUCUCGGAGCAAGGCGCCUCGCCAUAUUGGAAGAGGGCUUAGUGUGUGAACGUGAUGAAUGUCACACCCUUGCAGCCGUUGGAGUGGACGGUGGACUGUCUCGGAGGAGGGCGACUAGCCAGAUUGGCAGCGGGUACAUCUCGCAGGUGAUGACCAGGAAGAGGGCUCGGUGCGUGAACGUGAGGAAUGGUGCACCCUUGCAGAUGUUGUCAAUGGAGUAAGUUGGAUUAUAUUUACCUGUGAAGAUAUAUUGGUUGUGCCCUUCUUCGAUUGGUGUCAGGUUUUCCCUAGAAUCACAUCUUUGAUGCGAGAUCUGGUAGAUAUGAAGAAUUUGGUUGAGUUGCAUCGAUUGAGAUGGUAGCACACAGGGAGACUGCAUUUGACCUGGCCAAGUUC